Molecule: long non-coding RNA, 3502 nt
Organism: Equus caballus (horse)
Lineage: Eukaryota; Metazoa; Chordata; Mammalia; Perissodactyla; Equidae
Source: Ensembl
CACUCCUUCAUCAGUCAUAUACUGCUGCUCACUCUGUGCCAGACAGUCUUCUGGGUACUGGGGAGACAGCAGUGAACUAAACCUGUAGUAAUUCCUGCCCUCAUGGAGCUUACACAGUAGCGGGGAGGGACAGAUGCUGAAUAAAUACAUGUGUAAAACAGAAUUUCAGAUGCUGGUAAGAGUGAUGGAGAAACACAGGGCUGGGAAAGGAGAUGGGGCUCCUUUUGUGCAUUGCUUCAAUCUUCAUGGUCCUCCCUUUGACUCCAGCUGCUGCUGCCGAGACUUUGGGCAGCUCUGCAUAGAGCUGCACAGAGCUCUGGGGCUUCUCUGAUGCUGAACCCGGGCACUCCAUGGGAACCAGGUCUACACUCAGAAAUGCACAACCCCAAAGUGAGGGCAGUUAGUGCCCAGAUGGGCAGGAGGGUGUCAGUAAAUGUUUCUUGCUUUUGUUCCCCAAGCAGAUGGUUCUGAUACACAUUUCCUAAGCUUCCUCAGAAGGCACCCGGAAGGAUGAAUCAUUGCAUGGAGACAGUCAGCUAGAUUGCAUACCUGUGAUGAGCCUUCCCUCUGUGCUUCUUUCACUCGCCCAGUACUGCCCUUCUGCUCCUUGGGAUUGCAUUCGCAAAUAACCCCCUGCAUCUUCCUGGAGUUGCCAAUGAAGUGGUAAGUUCUUGGAAGACUGUACUACAGAUACUGAUGUGUUAUCUUGAUGGAUGCUGAUCCUGGAGCGUCACUCCUAACUUCAUUUAUGGAACAAACAUUUACUUAGUACUACAAUGAAAACUUCAUUGUGUGUAACAAGCAGGCAUGCAGACAGGAGUUGACUCCACCUUUUCAUCUGCUCUUCAAGCAAGGAGACCAUCAUGGCCAAUUGGUGGCCUCCAGCAGAAAAAGAAACCCAGCAAAUCCCCACAGGCCAUAGAAACAGUCCUCUCUGCUUCUCUACUUCUUGGAAAAUAAGGUGUAUCAAGUGUCAGGCCCUUGGUUCUUCCCUAACACCUCCUGGAGUGAGCUCCUCUUUAACCUGUUCCAGUUGGAGGGAGGCAGCACAUCUCAGUGGUCAAGAUCAUGACCUUGGUGUCAGAUGGCUUUGGGCUUCAUUCCUCACUGUGUGGCCUCAGAGUUCUCCCCUUUAAACUCAACAAAGGAUAACAUCCACUGUCGCUUUUCUUCUUGAAGAAGGAUAACAGGGAGAGAAUGAAGGGUGGAGAGAAACCAGAAUCUCAAGUAGAUCUUGAAUUUGUAGGCUGACCAGGUGAGAACUCCCAAGAAGGUCUAUUAGUAUGCCUAAGACUGUGACCGCCAAAUGAAAUUUGAGUGCUUCUGCUCGGUUUCCUUCUGCAGGUCAGGAACGAGACCCCCAAAUUCCUGACCCUCCUCUUCCUAAGAUUCAUGAUUCUUACAUUUUCUUCUCAUCACAAAUUGCUUUCCAGGUACCAUCUCAGUCGGUACCCAUAACCAGCCGAACCAACACUUACUUGAAGAGUCUUGAUGACUCCCUUCAGUUGGUAAAAUUAAUGAGAGGAUCCUGUUUUUAUUCCGUAGCCAUUAUUACACAUUUCAUGAGGCCUUGUACUCAGAUGAUAUUCUUUCUUUUUAGAGCCAAACUUAUUUCUUAUUUCACAUUGUCAGAUGACCCGAUGAUUUCUGAGCAACAUCCCUAGGUAGGAAAAAAGUGGAUAAACUGAGGCUCAUAAUGCUUAAGUGACUCCCUUAAGAUCUUAUGAUGAGUCAGGAAGCAAGACAGAAAUAGAAACCACGACUCUAGUCUGCUAAACUGUUUUUCUGACCACUAGACCACACUUCCUCUGCAGACUAUGAAACGCUGGAAAAUGGGAGUCAGGCAGAGAGUAAAUAUGGAGGCGAACCCACAGAAACACAAUUUUACUUGUACCCAAAUCAUGUCAUUUAGUAAAGGAAAACAGAGAAACACCCCAAGCUUUUUGCUGUCAUCAAAAUUAUAACCUAAACCAACAAUGGAUAUAGAAUAGGAAAUGAGUCUGCCCUGGAUAGACAUACCCUUUUCCAUUUAAAAUGAAUUUGAAAAAGUUGUCCAUUUUUCCGUCUUGAUGUGUUUUUCCUUUAUACAAAAGGAGAAUCUAAGUGUUCACUUUUAUUUAGAUUUAAGAGUGUAUAAAUAAAAUACCUUUAAUCCUCUCAUUGUUCACACAAUGCAGACCUAACCAACAAUUACUUGUUACAAGUUUAAGGCUCUGUGGGAACAGUUGGUGUAAUAGACACACUGUCUUUAAACUUAAAAUUUAGUUGGACAGAGUCUCCAUGUACCCAUGAAACUCUGAAGGCAGUUGACGAUGAACAUCAAAUGAGCAGGAGUGAUUAAGAAGCAGCCUAUGAUGUGUAAUAGCAAAAACCAAAGCAACGCUGUGUGAAGACUUGGGUUUGAGUCUCAGCUGUACCACGAGCUAACUUUCCACCUUGGACAAAUUACAUCCUAUGCAUUGACAGGGAGCGAUAGCAACUGUCUGCCUUGUCUUCCAACAGUAUUAGCGUGGAGACCAACAUGAGAAAAUGCAUGUAAAAUGGGCUGUGGGCUGGAAGAUGAAAUAUAGGAGGCAUUCAAGUCAUGAGAAGUAUCAGAAUCAUGCCAGGGUUGCACAGAAAAGCCUUUCUCCUUUGUAUCUAGAAUCUCCAAUGAUACAGUUUUCAAGGAACCUUCAGCAGGCUCAAAUGGAAACUAAAACAAGAAAUUAAAAACAGGCUCCCUUUGAAAUUAUUUUUGGCUAUGAGAACAGAAAAUAAUACGAUAUUUUCCCUUUGGUAAAUAGCUCCUUGCCUCAUCCUCAGUGAGAGCUAUCUGAACAUCUUGUGUGAAAUCUGUUGAUAAUGGUUUGAAGAGAGAACUUUCCAAUUAUGAAGAAGAAGGCAUGCAACUCAGGGAAGCCGAACCCUCUGUUGACUGGGACAGAGAGUGCCAAAAACCCUUCCCACCUGUGGUUCCCAGGGAGCAACCGCAGCAGCAUUUCAUCACCAGGACAAUGUGGCAACCAACAGGAAUCCUUGAAUGACCCUUUCAGGAAAACAAGCAUGAAAUUGUGUUCAGGGCUUCCACCUGUGGGUGAACCCGGGUAUUGUUGAUAUGGGAAACUUGAGAAAAGGCAGGAAUUUACUUUUAAAAUUAAGCAGGGAAAAUUUACUGUAAAUAUUGUUAAAUUUAUUGUUAAGUAGUCUGUGAGGAUACUUUAAUUCCAGGAGGUCAUGUGAUUUUUCUUAAUCGAGGAAACAACUAACUGUAAAACUUGUCUAAAAUUCUUACACUAACCUCUGCUUGCGUCAAGUCACUCUUUUACAGCAAUAAUUCAUUACACUUUACACUUAGCAAAAAAAUGUAGAGGGGUCGGCCCCAUGGCCGAGUGGUUAAGUUCGCGCGCUCAGCUGCAGGCGGCCCAGUGUUUCGUUGGUUCGAAUCUUGGGCGCGGACAUGGCACUGCUCGUCAAGCCACACUGAGGUGGUGUCCCAUGUGCCACAACUAGAAGGACCCAC